UUCUCUUAAAGCCACAGUAACACCAUCUCUCUAUCCCUUUAAUUUUCUCUCUCUCUCUCUCUCUCACACACACACACACACACCAUCUAUCUAUCUAUCUCAGAGUUAUCUUAAGAGCUUUCUGUAAGUCUUUUAACAGUUCUCCUUUGACACAAUGACCAUCUACCUUCUAUUUUUGCUGUAUUAUUGAAGUUGUUAUUACUUAGAGGAAUGGUAUCAUUUUCAUUUUCUUGAUGCUCUUGUUGCUGUACUAUAUCAUUUCUUCUUUCAACUGAGUCUAGCCUUGCAGUGAAAUACCUCUGGAGCUGACCAUAAUCCAAAAGAAAGAGCUACACAAAGGCACAGAAAACUAUUAGGAUGGAAGUCAAAGUCUGAUGUGUCUGACAACAUCCAGCAAGUGCAAUUUCACUAGUUCAGACACGUAUAGAGGAUGACUGAAGAAGACUGGGUGAAGAUAGCAUGGCAGGAGUGGGUGUUAGGAAAGAGACCCUGAGAAGCUGAGGAAGUGAUGGAUGGAUUGCAUAAAAGAAACUGGAGGUGAGACAAGGCAGACAUAUUUCAGCUAUUACUAAUGCUUCCUGAUGACCCUUGGAAUCAGAGGAACUGGGGAGAAUACAUGCAGCGGAUAGUUUGACCAGGAAAGAAGAAAAGCAUCUGUCAUGGAAGCUGAGCUGUGACCAACCCUGGAGCAGAAAUAUCCUGCAUUUGUUGUUCAGAGGCUAGCAGACAAGAAGAGUAUCUCAUUGAGAUGGCUGUGGCCAUGGAACAUGAAGCAGUGUCAGUUACGUUGAUAGCUGCUUGAGGAGAUGUCUAGGCAGUGAGGUGUCUUGUACUGAAUCUUUUGGACAAUUUGUCUACAAAUUUCAAAAUUUCUGACACAUUAAUAAAGAGGCUGCCUAAUUAAAAGUGAAGAGUGAUGUGAAGCUCCCACUCUCUCUCUGGAUGAUCAUUAAUGAAGAUGUUAACUGCUACAAGACCUAACAUUGAUUCGUGUGGUGCCCUACGAGAUGCUUCUUCCCAAUUCAAUACGUUGCCAUUUAUCACUUACAUUUGUUAAUAGACUUUCAGCCAGUUUUUAAUCAAGGCAACAAAAUUUGUAAUACCGGUUGUUUUGAAUUAAUUUUAGGGAAAUAUCUUUUUAAAGACAGGGAAUCAACUAUUUUACUAAAGAUCAAAACAUUCUAUCAACUGCAUUCCUUUCAUCUAGUAGGGGUCUGAUUACCCAACCCUUACUCACACAAGCAGUCCUUAUUUACAUGAGUGAAGAUUAAUUACAAAAGAAAUGGCUGAAAUAGAAUUGAGACAAAAUUUUGUAAUAACAAAAAAAUAUCAAGCUUUGUUCUUUAUAAACUUGUGCUGUUCUUUGUUGCUUCUGGUUCUUCUAUGGAAGUUUUUUUGUUUUUCUCUACAAUUUCUUCAGCUAUUUUAGUACUGUACAAAUUGACA
This is a long non-coding RNA of Mauremys reevesii (Reeves's turtle), 1446 nucleotides long. RefSeq lists it as uncharacterized. The record is from RefSeq and is a predicted model, not a curated record. The transcript is spliced from 8 exons. NCBI's taxonomy places the organism in Eukaryota, Metazoa, Chordata, Testudines, Geoemydidae.